AGCUGUGCGUUCUUUUCCGCUCGGCUGUGGGAGGAGGCGGCUGCGGGGCCUCGUCGGUCAUGCGGGCCGGGCGGCAGCGCCGGCGGACAGGUUGCUGGGCCCUUCGAGGUGAAACCGAGCCUGUGAGGUGAAGAUGAAUGAACGUUGUGAUGCUUUCCAAAAACACGUGAGAAGAUGUCUGUGAUAAAACCACUAGGAGCAGAACUGCAUGUAAUGAGCAUAUAGGUAGCUGCAGAUGAAUGUUCAAGUCCAUAACUGUCAUGGUUAAAAAUUCGUCAUUGCCUCAGGAGAGAGAGACAGCGUGAGCAGGGGAGGGUCGGAGAGAGAG
Molecule: long non-coding RNA, 328 nt
Organism: Hyaena hyaena (striped hyena)
Lineage: Eukaryota; Metazoa; Chordata; Mammalia; Carnivora; Hyaenidae
Exons: 4
Source: RefSeq, a predicted model, not a curated record